Hemicordylus capensis (graceful crag lizard) is the source of this 1952-nucleotide long non-coding RNA. RefSeq lists it as uncharacterized. The transcript is spliced from 3 exons. Lineage: Eukaryota; Metazoa; Chordata; Lepidosauria; Squamata; Cordylidae. The record is from RefSeq and is a predicted model, not a curated record.
CCCACACACUGGCACCACCCACACCGGCACCAUCUACACAGAUCAACAACAUAUAUUCCACCAUCUCCUACACCAUAAAGAUAGGAUGAUCUCUAACAUCUCCCAGGGGCCUGUAUGAAGCAGACCAAGGCUUGGAACUAAGACACCCGCUUGCUGCUUAAGAAUCAGUUAUCUAGGAGGAAUGGCCAAUUUAUUUAAGCUCAGGGACUUCUCUAGGCAGAGACCAAGAACCUGAACUAGCCAAGGUCUUCACUGAUGGGCAAGUGAGUGAUGAAGUUGGCAUUGCCUGGCAGUAAGGUCUUCCUGAAAAGUCUCCUCAGCAAAACAGUCACAGCGUCCCUGACAGAGGACUCAUGAACCCUGAUUCCACAGGACAGAUUUAAACUUUCUCUCCCAUACUUCAUUUUGUUGGUUCCGAAUUGUCCCAGGAGGUCCAGCAUUGGCCUCAGGGCCAUCCUUCCUCAGAUCCUACGUAUUUUUCCCCACCCACCCCGGAGAGGCCAGGAUCUGGGCUCAUCCACUCAGCUCACAUUCCUGUGGCUUUAGGCUUUGCCUAAUAGGAUCCAGAUGUUGCAGAGUCAUGUGAGCACUGGGCACGCCAGGGGUGGAGGUAGAAGCAACUGCCUGGCUGUGUUGCCGCCUCCCUCAGUCCCAUCGAAGGGCCCCUCAGACAGCUCGUCAGACGCCAAGAGGGAAUCCUGGCAAUAUAAGCAAGACUGCAGAGUGGCAAAGAAGCAAAAAGGAUGUUGCAAUCCAGGAAUCUUAGGCCCAAUUUAAAAAAAGAAAAAUCUCCUACAGUUUCCCACUGGACUCUCUUCCCAGCUGAUAAUUUCAUGGCGAGGGGAGGGAAGUUACCAGAGAUGAACUCCCCUUCCCCUAACCCCAAAUGUGUGGGGUGCAUUGUGGACUCAAAGUGGUGAAGGAAAUAGAUGUUACAUAUGCUCAGAUAUCGUCUCUGGAUUAUUUUGCACAUUACAGAGCAGCAAAACCAGGUUUGUCACCAGAGAUACACUUGACAGGAAUCGCAGCCACUCUUGACUCUCUAAUGAGUGUAUGAUAAACAUGCUUGCACACAUGAUGGUUGCAGUUACAGGUUACGUUUUAAAGUCUGUAUACUUUGAAAAAGAAACCUUAGAUAUAUAGAUUCGAGAAACGUGACAUGUGAAGCAACCCAGUGUUUCAGAGCCAAGCCCUGGGACUGAAAACCGGCUGCUGGGUUGAAUCCUGGCUCAGACUUAGUCCUGCCCAUUAUCUUAUUCUGGAAAAUCCAUCAGUUCUGGCAUCUAAUCCAUCACUGCUCUCUGAAAAACCAUCCCCUUUCAGAAGCCUGGCUCCCAGGUCCUCCUGAAUCAGUUCACUAAAUCCCUGCUCAUCUCCCAGGAAAUCAAGGAUUGAGUUCACUAUAGUAUAAAUAUGCAGAGAGAGCAAGUCUUCCCCACACCACCCAGGAGACUCGGUUUGCAACAGGUUCCAGCUGUUCUGACCAACUCACAGCCACUCCUUGUGCAGAUGGGAUACAGAGAAAGAAAGGCAACCUUUACAUUUUCGCUUUCACCGACUCGACGGCACAACUUUACUUUUAUGGAGGAGAACCAACAAGAUGGGUGUAUGGGUCUAGAGCAGGGCUAGACAACUUUGGCCCUCCAGCUGUUGUUGAACUACAACUCCCCUCACCCCCAGCCACAGUUUAUUGUGGCUGAGGAUGAUGGGAGUUGUAGUUCAACAAUAGCUGGAAAGCCACGGUUGCCUAGCCCUUCUCUAGAGGAUGGCAGAAGAUAUGCCAACUUUGAAAGACAGGAGGAUCGGUAUUAGGGUUGCUCUUUCUCUGCUAUUUUAGUAUUUUAUCAUCCACCCUGCAGCUGGUUUUCCCUCCAUUCUGCUUCCUCUAUGAUUUACGUUUUGCCCCGCCUCCAUUUCCUUCAUUAAUAAACUGAACAGGAAAACUAUAGGCA